Non-coding RNA from Pangasianodon gigas (Mekong giant catfish), 73 nucleotides. NCBI's taxonomy places the organism in Eukaryota, Metazoa, Chordata, Actinopteri, Siluriformes, Pangasiidae. The record is from the annotation of a GenBank genome assembly.
AACUGGAAUCUGUUUCUUCUGAUCCCUGUUCUGGGACCCAAUCUGGCUUAGGGGUCCAGUCCGGAUAAGGAUC